CCCUUAGAUGUUCGGGGCCGCACGCGCGCUACACUGAAGGAAUUAGCACGUCUUUCUCCUUGUCCGAAAGGACUGGGUAACCCGCUGAACCUCCUUCGUGCUAGGGAUUGGGGCUUGUAAUUCUUCCCCAUGAACGAGGAAUUCCCAGUAAGCGCGAGUCAUAAGCUCGCGUUGAUUACGUCCCUGCCCUUUGUACACACCGCCCGUCGCUACUACCGAUUGGAUGGUUUAGUGAGAUCCUCGGAUUGGUCCCGGAGCGGCCUCUGGUCGUGCCGGAGUGCCGAAAAGAAUGUCGAACUUGAUCAUCUAGAGGAAGUAAAAGUCGUAACA
This 330-nucleotide ribosomal RNA is filed under the name uncultured eukaryote. RNAcentral's name for it is "partial 18S ribosomal RNA". It matches the Rfam family "Eukaryotic small subunit ribosomal RNA", at positions 1470 to 1796 of the family's 1831-position model. The record is from RNAcentral.